CGUAAAGCGCCUGCAGGCGCUCAGGUAAAUCGCUUGUGAAAGCACCGUGCUCAACGCGGUGGAGCCCAAGCGAUACUGCGUGACUUGAGGCCGGAAGAGGGGAGUGGUAUUCCCGGUCUAGCGGUAAAAUGCGCAGAUAUCGGGAGGCACACCAGUGGCGAAGGCGGCUCCCUGGACCGCACGUGACGCUCAGACGGCGAAAGCUAGGGGAACGAACAGGAUUAGAGACCCUGGUAGUCCUAGCCCUAAACGCUGGAUGCUACGGUGUAGCGACUGAUGAGGCUUUGUGCCGGAGCGAACACGAUAAGCAUCCCGCCUGGGAACUACGGCCGCAAGGCUAUAACUCAAACGAAUUGACGGGGACCCGCACAAGCAGCGGAGCGUGUGGUUUAAUUAGAUGCUACACAGUAGUACCUUACAUGGGUUUGACAUGCUGGUGGUAACGAAACGAAAGGUGAGGGACCAUUCGGGGAGCCAACACAGGUCAUGCAUGUCUGUCGUCAGCACGUCCCGUGAGGUAGUCGGAUUAAAUUCAGUAACGAGCGCAACCCUUGCUCUUAGUUAUACGUGUCUAAGGGGAUCAGCCGUGCGACAAGCCCGGAGGAUAGGUGUGGAUGACGUCAUAGUCAGCAUGACCUUGAUAUCUCAAGGGCUUACACACACGCUUCUAUGUCCGGUACAAAGGGCACGCCAAACCUGCCGACGUCGCGAGCGAAUCCCAGCAAAGCCGGUCCCAGUUCGGAUUGCAGGCUGCAACCCGCAUAGCACUGAAGUUGGAGUUGAUAGUACUCGCGCGUCAGCCAUAGUCGCGGUGUUACGUACCCAGGGUCUUGUACACAC
Molecule: ribosomal RNA, 840 nt
Filed under: uncultured organism
Description: bacterial SSU rRNA
Rfam family: Bacterial small subunit ribosomal RNA
Source: RNAcentral